ACAUACGACCAUACCUACCAGAAAAUACGGGAUCCCGUCCGCUCUCCCAUAGUCAAGCUGGUAAGGGGCGGAUUAGUAGUUGGGUCGGUGACGACCAGCGAAUCCCCGCUGUUGUAUGU
This 119-nucleotide ribosomal RNA is filed under the name Fusarium sporotrichioides. Lineage: Eukaryota; Fungi; Ascomycota; Sordariomycetes; Hypocreales; Nectriaceae. The record is from RNAcentral. RNAcentral also lists the same sequence under 6 other names.